This 68-nucleotide transfer RNA is filed under the name Naesiotus nux. RNAcentral describes it as "tRNA-Pro". Lineage: Eukaryota; Metazoa; Mollusca; Gastropoda; Stylommatophora; Orthalicidae. The record is from RNAcentral.
UUAAAAGUAGUUUAAUUAAAAUAUUAACUUUGGGAGUUAAUGAUUGGGAGGUUUAUCUUACUUUUAAA